RNAcentral lists this ribosomal RNA (301 nucleotides) under Panulirus sp. MHLTHC-2001. RNAcentral describes it as "eukaryotic LSU rRNA". It matches the Rfam family "Eukaryotic large subunit ribosomal RNA", at positions 48 to 319 of the family's 3401-position model. The record is from RNAcentral. Lineage: Eukaryota; Metazoa; Arthropoda; Malacostraca; Decapoda; Palinuridae.
UAGCGGAGGAAAAGAAACUAACAGGGAUUCCCUUAGUAAGGGCGACUGAACCGGGAAGAGCCCAGCGCAGAAGCUCUUGUCCCCAAGCGGGCAGGAGCGGUGUUGCGUUUCGGAGGGUCCGGCACGCCGUGCCAUACCGCCUAAGUCAAGCUUGAACGCGGCCACUACCCAUGGAGGGUGACAGGCCCGUAUGGCGGCGCCCGCGAGGGUAGAGAUGGUGCGGUCGGAAAGGACCCCUCCGUAGAGUCGGGUUGCUUGAAAGUGCAGCCCAAAGUAGGUGGUAAACUCCUUCUAAAGCUAA